GCCGCGGUGGCGGAAUUGGCAGACGCGCUAGCUUCAGGAGCUAGUGGGGGCAACUUCGUGAGGGUUCGAGUCCCUCCCGCGGCACCA
RNAcentral lists this transfer RNA (87 nucleotides) under Patescibacteria group bacterium. Its description in RNAcentral is "tRNA-Leu". It matches the Rfam family "tRNA". Rfam says of the family: Transfer RNA (tRNA) molecules are approximately 80 nucleotides in length. Their secondary structure includes four short double-helical elements and three loops (D, anti-codon, and T loops). The record is from RNAcentral.